AGUGAACGCUGGCGGUAGGCCUAACACAUGCAAGUCGAACGGCAGCACAGUAAGAGCUUGCUCUUACGGGUGGCGAGUGGCGGACGGGUGAGGAAUACAUCGGAAUCUACUUUUUCGUGGGGGAUAACGUAGGGAAACUUACGCUAAUACCGCAUACGACCUACGGGUGAAAGCAGGGGAUCUUCGGAUCUUGCGCGAUUGAAUGAGCCGAUGUCGGAUUAGCUAGUUGGCGGGGUAAAGGCCCACCAAGGCGACGAUUCGUAGCUGGUCUGAGAGGAUGAUCAGCCACACUGGAACUGAGACACGGUCCAGACUCCUACGGGAGGCAGCAGUGGGGAAUAUUGGACAAUGGGCGCAAGCCUGAUCCAGCCAUACCGCGUGGGUGAAGAAGGCCUUCGGGUUGUAAAGCCCUUUUGUUGGGAAAGAAAAGCAGCAGGUUAAUACCCCGCUGUUCUGACGGUACCCAAAGAAUAAGCACCGGCUAACUUCGUG
This 492-nucleotide ribosomal RNA is filed under the name uncultured bacterium. RNAcentral describes it as "partial 16S ribosomal RNA". It matches the Rfam family "Bacterial small subunit ribosomal RNA", at positions 29 to 507 of the family's 1533-position model. The record is from RNAcentral.